Lates calcarifer (barramundi perch) is the source of this 721-nucleotide long non-coding RNA. RefSeq lists it as uncharacterized. NCBI's taxonomy places the organism in Eukaryota, Metazoa, Chordata, Actinopteri, Centropomidae. The transcript is spliced from 4 exons. The record is from RefSeq and is a predicted model, not a curated record.
GUGCAGUUUUCUUAUUUUGAAGAGUCUGAAAUGAAAAAGACUUUUCAGGACUUUACAGACCAGGGAAAGAAAGCUUAAACAGGAGAUCUGGAGAAGACCGUCAGGAAAGACCAUGAAGACCAUGACUGGUCCAGUUUGGCCCUGAAGUGGAAACCAGUCCAAAAUAAACCCAGGUUUUGGUGGUGAGUGUGUGUCUGUCCGGGUCCACAAUGGAGUCCUCCAGGACGUAGACGGCCCGGGCCAUGUGGGUGGGGAAGACGCGCUCUGCCCAGCCUGGCAGCCGGUUGGUCUUGGUCAGCAGUCGCCGUGACAACAGGUGGUUGCUGGGGGUGACCUCGCGGUACAGGACAUCCUCGUAAAGACGGCGACAGUGACGACAGGAUGAGCCUCUGCCCAGGUGACUGAUGCUCACCUGAGGGCGCUGUGAUGGACAGUCUGCAGUGUAAAGAGAGGGGACCACCUGGCAGGCAGCCAAUCACACCGCUCACGCGGCGCGGCGCGGCGCGGCACACCGCCAGGGGCGCCGCCGACAGCAGGAGACACAGCGGAGGGCACGAGCCGACACACACACACACACACACACACACCCUCCCCUCUCCGUUACUGAACAUCAACGUCGCGUGUACCCCCUGCCCCCUCCCUCCCCCUCCUCCCUCUUCACGAGAACGACGCACGUAUCCGUUCAUAACCUCCGCCGUUAUUCAUCACCCCCCCCCCCCCC